Molecule: ribosomal RNA, 440 nt
Filed under: uncultured bacterium
Lineage: Bacteria
Description: partial 16S ribosomal RNA
Rfam family: Bacterial small subunit ribosomal RNA
Source: RNAcentral
CCUACGGGGGGCAGCAGUGGGGGAUAGUGCACAAUGGGGGAAACCCUGAUGCAGCGACGCCGCGUGUGGGAAGACGGUCCUCUGGAUUGUAAACCACUGUCCCCAGGGACGAAGAUGACGGUACCUGGGGAGGAAGCUCCGGCCAACUACGUGCCAGCAGCCGCGGUAAUACGUAGGGAGCGAGCGUUGUCCGGAAUUACUGGGUGUAAAGGGAGCGUAGGCGGGGCUGCAAGGUGGGUGUCAAAACUACCGGCUCAACUGGUAGUCGCACUCAAAACUGCAGCUCUUGAGUGAAGGAGAGGCAGGCGGAAUUCCUCGUGUAGCGGUGACAUGCGUAGAUAUUAGGCGGAACACCAGUGGCGAAGGCGGCCUGCUGGGCUUUUACUGCCGCUGAGGCUCGAAAGUGUGGGGAGCAAACAGGAUUAGAUACCCCUGUAGUC